UCAUCUUAUCAUCUCAAAUUAACAAAAUAACAGAAAUCGAUGGGAGGCCGGUAACGGCAGAGACCUUCCCAGAGGUGUACCAGCGGACGAUGGUGCCGCUCAGUAUGAAGUUCCGGAGGCCGAAGCCAGGGGGUUGCGACGGGUGCACUUGC
RNAcentral lists this non-coding RNA (152 nucleotides) under Lotharella globosa. The record is from RNAcentral. Lineage: Eukaryota; Cercozoa; Chlorarachniophyceae.